This 1386-nucleotide long non-coding RNA is filed under the name Lotus japonicus. Its description in RNAcentral is "long non-coding RNA (LJAP_LNC001383)". The record is from RNAcentral. Lineage: Eukaryota; Viridiplantae; Streptophyta; Magnoliopsida; Fabales; Fabaceae.
AAUAACAGGAACUUGUUGUGAUAAAGUGGCUGCGUAUGUGUUAGAGACUAGAGGUGGGUCUUGAUCUGGACGAACAUACCGUUCUGGAACUUGGGUGAUGGGUUGCUUUGCUAGCAGCUCCUUCACAGAAGGCACCAACAGAGAGGUUUCUCGGUAAGCCAUUAACUUAGCUGCCCCUUAUAAUGAGUCCAAGGCCUUUUGCUUGGAUGGAUUUUAAGAGUGAUAGUUGAAGUGAUAAGAAUCACCAAUUCAUUUUCAAUGUAGAGUGUUAGAGAGGAAUGAUUGAAAAAUUUAGCUAAUAAUUUCAAUGAAAAUGCAUCAACUGACCAAACCCCUGCCCAUCUUCUGGUGUUUUCCAAAGCUUCUUCUUUUCUUCUAUUGGAAGGUUGAAGAGGUCUUGAACACCUUUCUUCAUGUUUUCCACCAGUGAAGGAUUGACUCCAUGAUUAAUCAGCUGUAAUUAAUUUCAGAAAAUUUUUGCAAAACAAAUUAAGGUAUAUCAUCAUACAUGUAUUCCCUUGAUAAUAAAUCCCAAAUACAAUAGAUGCAGUAAUUCAUCAUGCGAGUGCGAAACCAAAUUAUCAGCACAGUCCUGAAUUUUUGUUUGGUAUACUAAAUUGCUCUCGGAGUUCUGACCGAGGAGAUGGUGAAGGCUAGAGGUCUCCCCGCGGCACUAAGGAUCAAACUUUCGAACUUAGCACCUAUUGGGUGUAACAAUCUUGAAUUAAGUAUAUAAAAGAUCAUCUAGGGUUUUCACUUUUGGUGUGCUAAAAGGAAUUCACAGCUAAAGGGCAUGAGACUAAUCCCUCAAGACUACUCUGAAAUGUCUCUCCUAACAAAUCAUUCUCCAUACACAACGCACAUGGAUCAAACCCUUAACUAAAUGUUUAUGGACAUCAAUUAUAAACCAAAUGUGCUGAACCUUGUUUCUAUUUCUUUCAGUUUUGAAAAUUGAUGUACCAUUUCAUAGGAAAGCCCAUAUAAUCAUAAUAAUAACAAACUAAUAUUUAAGAAAAUAAAAAAAGGUCUCAACAAAUUUUUAAAAAAUCUUAUUUUUGCUCCUUUAACAUUGGGAAAGAUAUAAUAUAAGGAAAAUUAACCUGGAAGAAACCCCAUUCUUUGCAGGCAUGGUCCAGCUUUUGUAGCUCAUGAGAAUCAUGUUCAGACAACAGUUUAUGCAGGUCAAUAACAGGAACUUGUUGUGAUAAAGUGGCUGCGUAUGUGUUAGAGACUAGAGGUGGGUCUUGAUCUGGACGAACAUACCGUUCUGGAACUUGGGUGAUGGGUUGCUUUGCUAGCAGCUCCUUCACAGAAGGCACCAACAGAGAGGUUUCUCGGUAAGCCAUUAACUUAGCUGCCCCUUAUAAUGAGUCCAAGGCCUUUUGC